UACGUAGGUGACAAGCGUUGUCCGGAUUUACUGGGCGUAAAGAGCGCGCAGGCGGUCGAUCAAGUCGAGUGUGAAAGCCCCCGGCUCAACUGGGGAGGGUCAUUCGAUACUGAUCGACUCGAAGGCAGGAGAGGGUAGUGGAAUUCCCGGUGUAGUGGUGAAAUGCGUAGAUAUCGGGAGGAACACCUAUGGCGAAGGCAGCUCGCUGGGACGUUACUGACGCUGAGACGCGAAAGCGUGGGGAGCAAACAGG
This 253-nucleotide ribosomal RNA is filed under the name uncultured bacterium. RNAcentral describes it as "partial 16S ribosomal RNA". It matches the Rfam family "Bacterial small subunit ribosomal RNA", at positions 524 to 776 of the family's 1533-position model. The record is from RNAcentral.